UAGGUGGAUUAGUGGCGCACGGGUGAGUAAUAUAUAGAUAACGUGCCUCUUAGUCUGGGAUAGCCAUUGGAAACGAUGAUUAAUACUAGAUACUCCUUCUCUAUCAAAUUAGAGUCGGGAAAGUUUUUCGCUAAGAGAUCGGUCUAUAUCCCAUCAGCUAGUUGGUAGUGUAAGAGACUACCAAGGCAAUGACGGGUAGCGGGUUUGAGAGGAUGAUCCGCCACACUGGUACUGAGACACGGACCAGACUCCUACGGGAGGCAGCAGUGAGGAAUAUUGCACAAUGGAGGAAACUCUGAUGCAGCAACGCCGCGUGGAGGAUGACGCAUUUCGGUGUGUAAACUCCUUUUAUAUGUCAAGAAAAUGACGGUAGCAUAUGAAUAAGCACCGGCUAACUCCGUGCCAGCAGCCGCGGUAAUACGGAGGGUGCAAGCGUUAUUCGGAAUCACUGGGCGUAAAGGACGCGUAGGCGGGAUGCCAAGUCUGAUGUGAAAUCCUAUGGCUUAACCAUAGAACUGCAUUGGAAACUGGUAACCUAGAGUAUGGGAGGGGGAGAUGGAAUUAGUGGUGUAGGGGUAAAAUCCGUAGAUAUCACUAGGAAUCCCGAAAGCGAAGGCGAUCUCCUGGAACAAUACUGACGCUAAGGCGUGAAAGCGUGGGGAGCAAACGGGAUUAGAUACCCCGGUAGUCCACGCCCUAAA
RNAcentral lists this ribosomal RNA (701 nucleotides) under uncultured bacterium. Its description in RNAcentral is "bacterial SSU rRNA". It matches the Rfam family "Bacterial small subunit ribosomal RNA", at positions 84 to 806 of the family's 1533-position model. The record is from RNAcentral.